Molecule: ribosomal RNA, 425 nt
Filed under: uncultured bacterium
Lineage: Bacteria
Description: partial 16S ribosomal RNA
Rfam family: Bacterial small subunit ribosomal RNA
Source: RNAcentral
GUGGGGAAUAUUGGACAAUGGGCGAAAGCCUGAUCCAGCAAUGCCGCGUGAGUGAUGAAGGCCCUAGGGUUGUAAAGCUCUUUUACCCGGGAUGAUAAUGACAGUACCGAGAGAAUAAGCUCCGGCUAACUUCGUGCCAGCAGCCGCGGUAAUACGAGGGGAGCUAGCGUUGUUCGGAAUUACUGGGCGUAAAGCGCGCGUAGGCGGUUUUUUAAGUCAGAGGUGAAAGCCCGGGGCUCAAGCCCGGAAUAGCCUUUGAAACUGGAAAACUAGAAUCUUGGAGAGGUCAGUGGAAUUCCGGGUGUAGAGGUGAAAUUCGUAGAUAUUAGGAAGAACACCAGUGGCGAAGGCGGCUCACUGGUCCGGUACUGACGCUGAGGUGCGAAAGCGUGGGGAGCAAACAGGAUUAGAAACCCGGGUAGUCC